UGGCAUGUAGCUCAGUGUUUGAGGCACCUGCUUUUUAUGCAGAAGGUCCCAUGUUCAGUUCCUGGCAUUUCUA
This is a non-coding RNA of Podarcis lilfordi (Lilford's wall lizard), 73 nucleotides long. The record is from the annotation of a GenBank genome assembly. NCBI's taxonomy places the organism in Eukaryota, Metazoa, Chordata, Lepidosauria, Squamata, Lacertidae.